RNAcentral lists this long non-coding RNA (281 nucleotides) under Pongo abelii (Sumatran orangutan). RNAcentral describes it as "lincRNA". Lineage: Eukaryota; Metazoa; Chordata; Mammalia; Primates; Hominidae. The record is from RNAcentral.
GGCUUUUGGCUCAAUUCUGAAUAAACAGUGCACAUCCAUGUGGGAGCAAUGAGGAGGAACUGUAGCAUCUGAACUGGAAAUUCCCUGUCUCCCCUUAACCAGCACUGGAAGCAGAUGGGAAAAGAAUGGCUGUGACUGACUCACACUCUAACCCAGCAACCCUCAGCAUACAAGUGGGAGACCAUAAAGUUUUUCAAGACCCCAAAAGAGGCCAAAGGUCUGAUAAUUGCUGGGAGAAGGUCCACUAUCCAAGAAGAGAAGAGGAAAAGGAAUUAAAAUCU